This 492-nucleotide ribosomal RNA is filed under the name uncultured bacterium. RNAcentral describes it as "partial 16S ribosomal RNA". It matches the Rfam family "Bacterial small subunit ribosomal RNA", at positions 29 to 507 of the family's 1533-position model. The record is from RNAcentral.
AGUGAACGCUGGCGGUAGGCCUAACACAUGCAAGUCGAACGGCAGCACAGUAAGAGCUUGCUCUUACGGGUGGCGAGUGGCGGACGGGUGAGGCAUACAUCGGAAUCUACUUUUUCGUGGGGGAUAACGUAGGGAAACUUACGCUAAUACCGCAUACGACCUACGGGUGAAAGCAGUGGAUCUUCGGACCUUGCGCGAUUGAAUGAGCCGAUGUCGGAUUAGCUAGUUGGCGGGGUAAAGGCCCACCAAGGCGACGAUCCGUAGCUGAUCUGAGAGGAUGAUCAGCCACACUGGAACUGAGACACGGUCCAGACUCCUACGGGAGGCAGCAGUGGGGAAUAUUGGACAAUGGGCGCAAGCCUGAUCCAGCCAUACCGCGUGGGUGAAGAAGGCCUUCGGGUUGUAAAGCCCUUUUGUUGGGAAAGAAAAGCAGCAGGUUAAUACCCCGCUGUUCUGACGGUACCCAAAGAAUAAGCACCGGCUAACUUCGUG